RNAcentral lists this ribosomal RNA (465 nucleotides) under uncultured bacterium. Its description in RNAcentral is "partial 16S ribosomal RNA". It matches the Rfam family "Bacterial small subunit ribosomal RNA", at positions 28 to 507 of the family's 1533-position model. The record is from RNAcentral.
GACGAACGCUGGCGGCGUGCUUAACACAUGCAAGUCGAACGGAAAGGCCCCUUCGGGGGUACUCGAGUGGCGAACGGGUGAGUAACACGUGAGUAACCUGCCCUUGACUUCGGGAUAACUUCAGGAAACUGGGGCUAAUACCGGAUAGGAAUCCUUGCUGCAUGGUGGGGGUUGGAAAGCUUCGGCGGUUUUGGAUGGACUCGCGGCUUAUCAGCUUGUUGGUGGGGUAGUGGCUUACCAAGGCCUUGACGGGUAGCCGGCCUGAGAGGGCGACCGGCCACAUUGGGACUGAGAUACGGCCCAGACUCCUACGGGAGGCAGCAGUGGGGAAUAUUGCACAAUGGGCGGAAGCCUGAUGCAGCAACGCCGCGUGCGGGAUGACGGCCUUCGGGUUGUAAACCGCUUUCAGCAGGGGCGAAGCUUGUGGUGAUGGUACCUGCAGAAGAAGCACCGGCUAACUACGUG